RNAcentral lists this long non-coding RNA (2275 nucleotides) under Medicago truncatula (barrel medic). RNAcentral describes it as "long non-coding RNA (MTRU_LNC006216)". The record is from RNAcentral. Lineage: Eukaryota; Viridiplantae; Streptophyta; Magnoliopsida; Fabales; Fabaceae.
CCUAAUCUCUUUUGAAUAAUUGUAUUAUUUUCAUGUUUUAUUGCGUUUAAGGGUUUAGGGUGUUAUAUCUAGCGCAUGAGUGUAUGGCCAAAACCAUGUCCUAGAUGCAUGGCCAUGUCCUAGCGCAUGGCACUUCUACCCGGACUUAGUUUUUCUGAUUUUCCGUCAUUUUAGGUCUUCGUCUUCAAAUAACUUGUCUCGAAAUUUGGGAACAAAAUUCCUCCCUCUUCUAAGUCUCUUGAGGCCUCUUGAAUCUUCAUUCUUGGUCUUCCUAAAUCUUCACAAAUCUUCAGAUGUUCUUGAUUUUCCUAUUUGCAUGAUUUCUUCGUGAAUUACUUCAAAAAACCCCUAAAAUUGCUAUGUUUCAGGAAAACUAGAAUUACAAACUAAAAUAUAAAAAACAUUACAAAUAUCCCAAAAUUGUACCCCGCAUUUAGAUCCCAUUACGUCUAUUUCUUCCUUUUAGAACAUGUCCUAUAUUUUUUUUUUCUUACACUAGUCAUGCAUAAUAAAUUCCUAACUAGAACCUAACAAAAUAGUUAAACUAAUUUAAUUACAAUUCAAAACCCCAAAUUUGUUUUCCCAUGUCCACGCAUCAAGCAAAACAUCAAGCACACAUCAUCUCUUCUUUGGUACCUAAAAUGUUGGAUGUAUGGGUUAGUCUUCAACACCCAUGAAAUAAAAUCAAUAAGAAAUUACAACAUCAUAUAAGAAUAUACAACCAUCAUCAAGGAAUUGUGCUAAAAUAAUUUCUUUUUUAGUUUAAAAUAUUCAUCACUCUAAAAUAUGCUAUAAGAACUAACACAAGACCAAAGCCUCAAUGUUGAUGAUGCAAAUCCAUGAAAUGCAAAUAGAUCAUGAUCCGGAUAUCGCCCCAAUUGGCAUAAUAGUUUUAAUCGUCCCAUUUGGCAUAUAAUAAAAAAUCACCUCAUUUGGCAUAUGAUAAUAAUCGCCCCAUUUGGCACUUAAAAAUCCAUUGAAUCGCCCCAAUUGGCAUAUAAUAAUAAUCGCCCCAUUUGGCACUUAUAAAUCCAUUAAAAUAAUAAUAAUCGCCCCAUUUGGCACUUAGAAAUCCAUUGAAAUAAUGAUAAUCACCCCAUUUGGCACUUAAAAUCCAUCAAAUGCAAUGAUAUGCAUGCUAUGCACUCUUUCUAUAAACUACAAACUUUUCCGACUCUUGAACCACAUAAUUAUGAAUUUCACAUCAUCACUGUACUUCAAAAUCAGUAAACUUUAACACACCCACAUAUACAACGAAAUCACUUUAACUCAACAACAUUUCUCAUUGCACAAAUAAGAAAACAUCAAGAUUUACACAAUCAUAAAAUCACAUACUUUAACAAAAUUGGAACUCACCAAUUCAUAUAAUUAUCAACUACAAGAAAAUUAAUAAAACAUAAUAAAUCUUUUCACUCAUCCAUUAAAUCAAGAAGCAUAUCAAAUUCAACAUCAUAAUCUAUCAUUUUCAUUUAAACACGGUCAAGACUAGAGCCAUUACCUUAGACGCUUCUCUUUUUCGGUCAAACUCUAACAAGACACUCUAAAGGCUUGCACUGAAGGUUGCAAGAGGAUUUAUAUUUGCAGCUUCAAUAAAGGAAUAAUCAAAAUUAGAAUAAAAGGAAAUUGGAGUCGACAGAGGAGGAACUAUUGAAAAUAUAAUACUUUAGAACUUACACGAAGAGUAUAGUUGAUGAAGAUUUUAGAAUAUUGAUUAACAAGGUGAUGAUGGUUAAUUAAAAGUUGGUGGUAUAUAGUUGAGGCUACGAGGGUAACACACGUUGUUUCAAGAAUUAGAAUAACUUAGUUAUUGUAACUAUGAAUAUACUACUUGAAAAGUGGGGAAGACUCUUUAAAAGACAUAUGUGUUUUGUAAAGGAAUGGAACGAUAGAUGGUAGAAUCAUUUUUCUUAGUAUAUCAAGAUUAACAAUGGUAGAAAUGGAACAAGUAAUGGUCAUCGUGUGGUUUAGCUAAGUGGGAGAGAAAUUGAUGCAAAGAAUUAUAGGAGAUGGCUAGUAGAACACAUAACAAAUAAGUGACAAAACUAAUGCAAUGGAAUUUGAGAGGAGAGGACCUGUGAAAUCGAAUGAGUGAGAAACCAACCGAUUGUGAGUGAAUUGAAAUACAUAGCUAAUAUGUGCCUAGUUUUUAGGAACCAAAUAACUAACUUCAUUGACCUAGCAAUUCAAGAAACAUAGUGGCACAAGGGAGAAGGAAAUAUGGCGGUAGUGGCAUCAACUAGGUAAGAAAAACGUGUAGUAUUAAUAAGACAAUAUC